This 296-nucleotide unclassified non-coding RNA is filed under the name uncultured Ascomycota. RNAcentral describes it as "sequence contains ITS1". The stretch from base 1 to 105 matches the Rfam family "5.8S ribosomal RNA", at positions 50 to 154 of the family's 154-position model. The record is from RNAcentral. Lineage: Eukaryota; Fungi; Ascomycota.
GAAAUGCGAUAAGUAGUGUGAAUUGCAGAAUUCAGUGAAUCAUCGAAUCUUUGAACGCACAUUGCGCCCUUUGGUAUUCCAAAGGGCAUGCCUGUUCGAGCGUCAUUUGUACCCUCAAGCCUUGCUUGGUGUUGGGCGCUUUGUCUUGCGAGACUCGCCUUAAAACAAUUGGCAGCCAGCAUACUGGUUUUGAAGCGCAGCACAAAUUGCGCUUCUGCUAUGCAUGCGGGCGUCCAUGAAGCGUACUCUAUUUCACGUUUGACCUCGGAUCAGGUAGGGAUACCCGCUGAACUUAA